UAGAGUUUGAUCAUGGCUCAGAUUGAACGCUGGCGGCAGGCCUAACACAUGCAAGUCGAGCGGUAACAGGAAUUAGCUUGCUAAUUCGCUGACGAGCGGCGGACGGGUGAGUGAUGCCUGGGAAUAUGCCUUGAUGUGGGGGAUAACUAUUGGAAACGAUAGCUAAUACCGCAUAAUGUCUUCGGACCAAAGAGGGGGAUCUUCGGACCUCUCGCGUCAAGAUUAGCCCAGGUGAGAUUAGCUAGUUGGUGGGGUAAGAGCUCACCAAGGCGACGAUCUCUAGCUGGUCUGAGAGGAUGAUCAGCCACACUGGAACUGAGACACGGUCCAGACUCCUACGGGAGGCAGCAGUGGGGAAUAUUGCACAAUGGGCGAAAGCCUGAUGCAGCCAUGCCGCGUGUAUGAAGAAGGCCUUCGGGUUGUAAAGUACUUUCAGUCGUGAGGAAGGGUGUGUAGUUAAUAGCUGCACAUCUUGACGUUAGCGACAGAAGAAGCACCGGCUAACUCCGUGCCAGCAGCCGCGGUAAUACGGAGGGUGCGAGCGUUAAUCGGAAUUACUGGGCGUAAAGCGCAUGCGGGUGGUUCAUUAAGUCAGAUGUGAAAGCCCGGGGCUCAACCUCGGAACCGCAUUUGAAACUGGUGAACUAGAGUGCUGUAGAGGAGGGUAGAAUUUCA
This 675-nucleotide ribosomal RNA is filed under the name uncultured Vibrionaceae bacterium. RNAcentral's name for it is "bacterial SSU rRNA". It matches the Rfam family "Bacterial small subunit ribosomal RNA", at positions 1 to 671 of the family's 1533-position model. Lineage: Bacteria; Pseudomonadati; Pseudomonadota; Gammaproteobacteria; Vibrionales; Vibrionaceae. The record is from RNAcentral.